RNAcentral lists this ribosomal RNA (374 nucleotides) under uncultured eukaryote. Its description in RNAcentral is "partial 18S ribosomal RNA". It matches the Rfam family "Eukaryotic small subunit ribosomal RNA", at positions 592 to 976 of the family's 1831-position model. The record is from RNAcentral.
CAAUAGCGUAUAUUAAAGUUGUUGCAGUUAAAAAGCUCGUAGUUGGAUUUCGGAGCGGGCCAGUUGGUCCGCCGCAAGGUGUGUUACUGACUGGUCUGUUCUUCUUCGCAAAGACUGCGUGUGCUCUUCGCUGAGUGUGCGUAGGAUUUACGACGUUUACUUUGAAAAAAUUAGAGUGUUCAAAGCAGGCUGUCGCUUGAAUACAUGAGCAUGGAAUAAUAGAAUAUGACUUUAUUCACUAUGUUGGUUUUUGGAUAGAGUAAUGGUUAACAGGAACAGUUGGGGGCAUUUGUAUUUAAUAGUCAGAGGUGGAAUUCUUAGAUUUAUUAAAGACAAACUAAUGCGAAGGCAUUUGCCAAGGAUGUUUUCAUUAA